This 77-nucleotide transfer RNA is filed under the name Alphaproteobacteria bacterium. Its description in RNAcentral is "tRNA-Arg". It matches the Rfam family "tRNA". Rfam says of the family: Transfer RNA (tRNA) molecules are approximately 80 nucleotides in length. Their secondary structure includes four short double-helical elements and three loops (D, anti-codon, and T loops). Further hydrogen bonds mediate the characteristic L-shaped molecular structure. tRNAs have two regions of fundamental functional importance: the anti-codon, which is responsible for specific mRNA codon recognition, and the 3' end, to which the tRNAs corresponding amino acid is attached (by aminoacyl-tRNA synthetases). tRNAs cope with the degeneracy of the genetic code in two manners: having more than one tRNA (with a specific anti-codon) for a particular amino acid; and 'wobble' base-pairing, i.e. permitting non-standard base-pairing at the 3rd anti-codon position. The record is from RNAcentral. Lineage: Bacteria; Pseudomonadati; Pseudomonadota; Alphaproteobacteria.
GCGCCCGUAGCUCAGCUGGAUAGAGUACUUGACUACGAAUCAAGGGGUCAGGGGUUCAAAUCCCUUCGGGCGCACCA